UCGUGAGACAGUUCGGUCUCUAUCUGUUGUGGGCGUAGGAAAUUUGCGGGGAUCUGACACUAGUACGAGAGGACCGUGUUGGACAGACCUCUGGUGAACCGGUUGUCGCGCCAGCGGCACGGCCGGGUAGCUAAGUUUGGGAUGGAUAAGCGCUGAAAGCAUCUAAGUGCGAAGCCAGCCUCAAGAUAAGAUUUCCAUAUUAAGGUCGUCGUAGACUACGACGUAGAUAGGCUGCAGGUGUAAAGGCGGUAACGUCAUAGCCGAGCAGUACUAAUUACCUGAAUAAUUGUCUUUC
This 295-nucleotide ribosomal RNA is filed under the name Candidatus Symbiothrix sp. RNAcentral describes it as "partial 23S ribosomal RNA". It matches the Rfam family "Bacterial large subunit ribosomal RNA", at positions 2619 to 2925 of the family's 2925-position model. Lineage: Bacteria; Pseudomonadati; Bacteroidota; Bacteroidia; Bacteroidales. The record is from RNAcentral.